GAUGAACGCUGGCGGCGUGCCUAAUACAUGCAAGUCGAGCGAACAGACGAGGAGCUUGCUCCUCUGACGUUAGCGGCGGACGGGUGAGUAACACGUGGAUAACCUACCUAUAAGACUGGGAUAACUUCGGGAAACCGGAGCUAAUACCGGAUAAUAUAUUGAACCGCAUGGUUCAAUAGUGAAAGACGGUUUUGCUGUCACUUAUAGAUGGAUCCGCGCCGCAUUAGCUAGUUGGUAAGGUAACGGCUUACCAAGGCGACGAUGCGUAGCCGACCUGAGAGGGUGAUCGGCCACACGGGAACUGAGACACGGUCCAGACUCCUACGGGAGGCAGAAGUAGGGAAUCUUCCGCAAAGGGCGAAAGCCUGACGGAGCAACGCCGCGUGAGUGAUGAAGGUCUUCGGAUCGUAAAACUCUGUUAUUAGGGAAGAACAAAUGUGUAAGUAACUAUGCACGUCUUGACGGUACCUAAUCAGAAAGCCACGGCUAACUACGUG
This 497-nucleotide ribosomal RNA is filed under the name uncultured bacterium. RNAcentral's name for it is "partial 16S ribosomal RNA". It matches the Rfam family "Bacterial small subunit ribosomal RNA", at positions 28 to 507 of the family's 1533-position model. The record is from RNAcentral.